GUCGAGCGAACAGAUGAGAAGCUUGCUUCUCUGAUGUUAGCGGCGGACGGGUGAGUAACACGUGGGUAACCUACCUAUAAGACUGGGAUAACUCCGGGAAACCGGGGCUAAUACCGGAUAAUAUUUUGAACCGCAUGGUUCAAUAGUGAAAGACGGUUUCGGCUGUCACUUAUAGAUGGACCCGCGCCGUAUUAGCUAGUUGGUAAGGUAACGGCUUACCAAGGCGACGAUACGUAGCCGACCUGAGAGGGUGAUCGGCCACACUGGAACUGAGACACGGUCCAGACUCCUACGGGAGGCAGCAGUAGGGAAUCUUCCGCAAUGGGCGAAAGCCUGACGGAGCAACGCCGCGUGAGUGAUGAAGGUCUUCGGAUCGUAAAACUCUGUUGUUAGGGAAGAACAAAUUUGUUAGUAACUGAACAAGUCUUGACGGUACCUAACCAGAAAGCCACGGCUAACUACGUGCCAGCAGCCGCGGUAAUACGUAGGUGGCAAGCGUUAUCCGGAAUUAUUGGGCGUAAAGCGCGCGUAGGCGGUUUCUUAAGUCUGAUGUGAAAGCCCACGGCUCAACCGUGGAGGGUCAUUGGAAACUGGGAAACUUGAGUGCAGAAGAGGAGAGUGGAAUUCCAUGUGUAGCGGUGAAAUGCGCAGAGAUAUGGAGGAACACCAGUGGCGAAGGCGGCUCUCUGGUCUGUAACUGACGCUGAUGUGCGAAAGCGUGGGGAUCAAACAGGAUUAGAUACCCUGGUAGUCCACGCCGUAAACGAUGAGUGCUAAGUGUUAGGGGGUUUCCGCCCCUUAGUGCUGCAGCUAACGCAUUAAGCACUCCGCCUGGGGAGUACGACCGCAAGGUUGAAACUCAAAGGAAUUGACGGGGACCCGCACAAGCGGUGGAGCAUGUGGUUUAAUUCGAAGCAACGCGAAGAACCUUACCAAAUCUUGACAUCCUUUGANCGCUCUAGAGAUAGAGUCUUCCCCUUCGGGGGACAAAGUGACAGGUGGUGCAUGGUUGUCGUCAGCUCGUGUCGUGAGAUGUUGGGUUAAGUCCCGCAACGAGCGCAACCCUUAAGCUUAGUUGCCAUCAUUAAGUUGGGCACUCUAGGUUGACUGCCGGUGACAAACCGGAGGAAGGUGGGGAUGACGUCAAAUCAUCAUGCCCCUUAUGAUUUGGGCUACACACGUGCUACAAUGGAUAAUACAAAGGGCAGCGAAUCCGCGAGGCCAAGCAAAUCCCAUAAAAUUAUUCUCAGUUCGGAUUGUAGUCUGCAACUCGACUACAUGAAGCUGGAAUCGCUAGUAAUCGUAGAUCAGCAUGCUACGGUGAAUACGUUCCCGGGUCUUGUACACACCGCCCGUCACACCACGAGAGUUUGUAACACCCGAAGCCGGUGGAGUAACCUUUUAGGAGCUAGC
Molecule: ribosomal RNA, 1413 nt
Filed under: bacterium
Lineage: Bacteria
Description: bacterial SSU rRNA
Rfam family: Bacterial small subunit ribosomal RNA
Source: RNAcentral